UGUCUUUGAGAAUUGACCAAAUGUGUUGGCUUGGGUUGGAAACCCUUCAAUUUGUAUUAAGUUUUAAAUGAUAGUUAAUAUUCAUUUUGAAUUUAUAAAAUAUGCAUUACCAUGGUUAAAUGAAUGUCUAUUAUGGCUGAAUUGGAUAUAUGAAUUGUGCUUGUGUUGGUAUUGGUUGACUUGUGUAUGAAACUAGGUAUGUAAAGGUGGCAAUGAGGCUUAGUAAAUAGCCUUAUAUUGUCC
RNAcentral lists this long non-coding RNA (243 nucleotides) under Gossypium barbadense (sea-island cotton). RNAcentral describes it as "long non-coding RNA (GBAR_LNC001274)". Lineage: Eukaryota; Viridiplantae; Streptophyta; Magnoliopsida; Malvales; Malvaceae. The record is from RNAcentral.